AGCAGCCAGCACAUCACCAUGUUAUUUUUUGCCUUCCAUGUUCAAUAACUUGGGCUCGUCUCCUCAGGUUGUACGGCAACUUUAGUUAGGUAAUCUUCUUUACUUUUUCUGCAAACGAAAAUCAUGACAGAAUGGGACCAUUGAUUGAAGUUGUGACUGGUAAGUUUAUGACCGGUGAUGAGAAGAGUUCCACCUUCGGAUAUAUUGAUAGGUUGGGUAAUGUGAGGAAAGUUCUGAGCUCUAGGAUAUGAAGUUUCACUCUCAGCCUCGCUUGCCAUGGUAGCUCUAGGGUAUUUUGUCAUGGUGGAAACUCUCAGAAAUAAGGUAGAAGAGAAUGGUCCAGAUCAUGCUCUGAUACCAUGAAGAAAUUUAGGAGAAAUUGCUCUGAGUUUUUUAUUCUCCAGAGAAUGAAUAUUUACAUGAGGCAUCUAACCUUUAUAUAGCUGCU
Molecule: long non-coding RNA, 448 nt
Filed under: Eucalyptus grandis
Lineage: Eukaryota; Viridiplantae; Streptophyta; Magnoliopsida; Myrtales; Myrtaceae
Description: long non-coding RNA (EGRA_LNC001989)
Source: RNAcentral